AGCGAACGCUGGCGGCAGGCCUAAUACAUGCAAGUCGAGCGCCCGUAGCAAUACGGGAGCGGCAGACGGGUGAGUAACACGUGGGAACGUACCCUUCGGUUCGGAAUAACCCAGGGAAACUUGGGUUAAUACCGGAUACGCCCUUACGGGGAAAGAUUUAUUGCCGAAGGAUCGGCCCGCGUCUGAUUAGCUAGUUGGUGAGGUAACGGCUCACCAAGGCAACGAUCAGUAGCUGGUCUGAGAGGAUGAUCAGCCACAUUGGGACUGAGACACGGCCCAAACUCCUACGGGAGGCAGCAGUGGGGAAUAUUGGGCAAUGGACGCAAGUCUGACCCAGCAACGCCGCGUGGAGGAUGAAGGUUCUUGGAUCGUAAACUCCUUUUGCAGGGAAAGACAAGGAUGGUACCCUGAGAAUAAGUCACGGCUAACUACGUGCCAGCCGCCGCAGUAAU
RNAcentral lists this ribosomal RNA (452 nucleotides) under uncultured bacterium. RNAcentral describes it as "bacterial SSU rRNA". It matches the Rfam family "Bacterial small subunit ribosomal RNA", at positions 29 to 524 of the family's 1533-position model. The record is from RNAcentral.